RNAcentral lists this ribosomal RNA (497 nucleotides) under uncultured bacterium. RNAcentral's name for it is "partial 16S ribosomal RNA". It matches the Rfam family "Bacterial small subunit ribosomal RNA", at positions 28 to 507 of the family's 1533-position model. The record is from RNAcentral.
GAUGAACGCUGGCGGCGUGCCUAAUACAUGCAAGUCGAGCGAACGGACGAGAAGCUUGCUUCUCUGAUGUUAGCGGCGGACGGGUGAGUAACUCGUGGAUAACCUACCUAUAAGACUGGGAUAACUUCGGGAAACCGGAGCUAAUACCGGAUAAUAUUUUGAACCGCAUGGUUCAAAAGUAAAAGACGGUCUUGCUGUCACUUAUAGAUGGAUCCGCGCUGCAUUAGCUAGUUGGUAAGGUAACGGCUUACCAAGGCAACGAUGCAUAGCCGACCUGAGAGGGUGAUCGGCCACACUGGAACUGAGACACGGUCCAGACUCCUACGGGAGGCAGCAGUAGGGAAUCUUCCGCAAUGGGCGAAAGCCUGACGGAGCAACGCCGCGUGAGUGAUGAAGGUCUUCGGAUCGUAAAACUCUGUUAUUAGGGAAGAACAUAUGUGUAAGUAACUGUGCACAUCUUGACGGUACCUAAUCAGAAAGCCACGGCUAACUACGUG